AGUAGGGAAUUUUCCGCAAUGAGCGAAAGCUUGACGGAGCGACACAGCGUGCAGGAUGAAGGUCUUCGGAUUGUAAACUGCUGUUGUAAGGGAAGAAAAAAUUUAAUAGGAAAUGAUUAAAUCUUGACGGUACCUUAUUAGAAAGUGACGGCUAACUAUGUGCCAGCAGCCGCGGUAAUACAUAGGUCACAAGCGUUAUCCGGAAUUAUUGGGCGUAAAGAGUUUGUAGGCGGUUUAUCAAGUCUAGAGUUAAAGCCUGAGGCUCAACCUCAGUCCGCUCUGGAUACUGGUUAACUAGAGUUAUAUAGAGGUAAACGGAAUUCUUAGUGAAGCGGUGGAAUGCGUAGAUAUUAGGAAGAACACCAACGGCGAAGGCAGUUUACUGGAUAUACACUGACGCUCAAGAACGAAAGCGUGGGGAGCAAACAGGAUUAGAUACCCUGGUAGUCCACGCCGUAAACGAUGAUCAUUAGUCGCUAGGGAACUUAGUGACGCAGCUAACGCAUUAAAUGAUCCGCCUGAGUAGUAUGCUCGCAAGAGUGAAA
Molecule: ribosomal RNA, 545 nt
Filed under: Metamycoplasma sualvi
Lineage: Bacteria; Bacillati; Mycoplasmatota; Mycoplasmoidales; Metamycoplasmataceae
Description: bacterial SSU rRNA
Rfam family: Bacterial small subunit ribosomal RNA
Source: RNAcentral